This 21-nucleotide non-coding RNA is filed under the name Arabidopsis thaliana (thale cress). The record is from RNAcentral. Lineage: Eukaryota; Viridiplantae; Streptophyta; Magnoliopsida; Brassicales; Brassicaceae.
CGAAGGGUAGUUAAGGUCUGA